RNAcentral lists this ribosomal RNA (261 nucleotides) under uncultured archaeon. Its description in RNAcentral is "partial 16S ribosomal RNA". It matches the Rfam family "Archaeal small subunit ribosomal RNA", at positions 748 to 1009 of the family's 1478-position model. The record is from RNAcentral.
UAGCCGUAAACGAUACUCGCUAGGUGUCGGCCACGGUGCGACCGUUGUCGGUGCCGUAGGGAAGCCGUGAAGCGAGCCACCUGGGAAGUACGGCCGCAAGGCUGAAACUUAAAGGAAUUGGCGGGGGAGCACCACAACGGGUGGGGCCUGCGGUUUAAUUGGACUCAACGCCGGGAAGCUCACCGGAUAAGACAGCGGAAUGAUUGCCGGGCUGAAGACCCUGCAUGACCAGCUGAGAGGAGGUGCAUGGCGUAGUCGUGU